This 446-nucleotide ribosomal RNA is filed under the name Clostridioides difficile. RNAcentral's name for it is "bacterial LSU rRNA". It matches the Rfam family "Bacterial large subunit ribosomal RNA", at positions 2279 to 2724 of the family's 2925-position model. The record is from RNAcentral. Lineage: Bacteria; Bacillati; Bacillota; Clostridia; Peptostreptococcales; Peptostreptococcaceae.
GCGGUCGCCUCCCAAAAGGUAACGGAGGCGCUCAAAGGUUCUCUCAGUACGGUCGGAAAUCGUACGUAGAGUGUAAAGGCAAAAGAGAGCUUGAUUGCAAGACAUACAGGUCGAGCAAGGAUGAAAAUCGGACUUAGUGAUCCGGUGGUUCUGCGUGGAAGGGCCAUCGCUCAACGGAUAAAAGCUACCCUGGGGAUAACAGGCUUAUCUCCCCCAAGAGUCCACAUCGACGGGGAGGUUUGGCACCUCGAUGUCGGCUCAUCACCUCCUGGGGCUGUAGUAGGUCCCAAGGGUUGGGCUGUUCGCCCAUUAAAGUGGUACGCGAGCUGGGUUCAGAACGUCGUGGGACAGUUCGGUCCCUAUCCGUCGCAGGCGUAGGAAAUUUGAGAAGACCUGUCCUUAGUACGAGAGGACCGGGAUGGACGUACCUCUGGUGUACCAGUUGU